CAUCUCUACACCCAAGUCUUCCAAAGAUAUUGAUCUAAACACCUCUAUUUCCUUGGUAAAACCUAGAAGAUUAGUGGAGAUACAAGCUUGAAGGUUGGAAAGAAGAUUUUAUUUUUCUCUUUGAUUUACUUGAGCUUUGUGAUGACCAGGAGGAUUAGCGCUACUUUUCCAAGACAGGUUUAUAUGUGUAUGAUCUUCAGGCUUUGCCUAUCCAGGUUGAGCAGCUGAUGGAAUGGAAUGGUGUUGAGCGGGUGUUCCUUUGACAUUUCAAGAAAUGUAACCUUGAGUAUACAUCUUCAUAUGUAUAUCUCACACGUUUUCCGCUGCAAAACACUUUGAUUAGGAAAACUCUUUGUUAUAAAGUUGUGACACGUGUUAUUGGGUAACCCACCUUAAUUAGUUCUCCUUUAUGUGUAUGUUUUAUAAGUAUCCAAAUAAUCAUAUAUGAUCCUAGCAUUUUAUCUAUGAGUGACAUUUCCAUAUACUUUAAUGUUAAGUAUUUGUCCA
Molecule: long non-coding RNA, 507 nt
Organism: Salvia miltiorrhiza (redroot sage)
Lineage: Eukaryota; Viridiplantae; Streptophyta; Magnoliopsida; Lamiales; Lamiaceae
Exons: 3
Source: RefSeq, a predicted model, not a curated record